UAAGGUGAUUAUAGUACGAGGGUUCCACCUCUUCCCAUUCCGAACAGAGAAGUUAAACCUUGUCACGCCGAUGUUACUGCGUAAUAGUGGGAGAGUAGGUAGUCGCCAGCU
RNAcentral lists this ribosomal RNA (111 nucleotides) under Bacteroides cellulosilyticus. Lineage: Bacteria; Pseudomonadati; Bacteroidota; Bacteroidia; Bacteroidales; Bacteroidaceae. The record is from RNAcentral.